RNAcentral lists this ribosomal RNA (495 nucleotides) under uncultured bacterium. RNAcentral describes it as "bacterial SSU rRNA". It matches the Rfam family "Bacterial small subunit ribosomal RNA", at positions 26 to 518 of the family's 1533-position model. The record is from RNAcentral.
AGGACGAACGCUGGCGGCGUGCCUAACACAUGCAAGUCGAGCGGAGUCAGUAAGAGGAAGUUUCGGAUGGAAUCUUGUUGAUUUAGCGGCGGACGGGUGAGUAACGCGUGAGCGACCAACCUUGCACAGGGGGAUAACGGACCGAAAGGUUCACUAAUACCGCAUGAGACCACGGUGUUGCAUGACACAGAGGUCAAAGGAGCAAUCCGGUGCAAGACGGGCUCGCGUCCGAUUAGGUAGUUGGAGGGGUAACGGCCCACCAAGCCUAUGAUCGGUAGCCGACCUGAGAGGGUGAUCGGUCACAUUGGAACUGAGAUACGGUCCAAACUCCUACGGGAGGCAGCAGUGGGGAAUAUUGGGCAAUGGGGGAAACCCUUGACCCAGCAACGCCGCGUGAAGGAAGAAGGUUUUCGGAUUGUAAACUUCUGUCCUUGGUGAAGAGAAGAAGACGGUAGCCAAGGAGGAAGCCCCGGCUAACUACGUGCCAGCAGCUGC